UGUUGGCAGUUUUUCUCUUUCCCUCUCCCUCUUUUAUAGGGUCACUGCCAAAAAAAACACAGCUUUGAAUCCAUUCUUAGUUACCUUAAACAUUCCUGUUAUAUUUUUCUACCUUUGUGACUUUUUUUUUGUCAGCAUUUGUAUGCCUUAGGAGGGAUUGAUUUGUUUUGAAAAUUCCUCUCAAUGUGUGAGAAGAUUGAAAAUCAUAUGCAAUUUAGGUUAAAGUUAAAGUUGUAUCUUUAAAUCUUUAUGUUUGAGUCAACAUCUUUUAUCCAUCCGAUUUGUCAGUGAAAAGUGAGCUUAAAAUCAACUGCAGUAAAAUACAAAUGGUUGAAGCAGAUGCAGUACAGUUUGCCCAUAACUAUCUUCAGUGACAAAAGCUGUAGUGGGAGGGAAAGAUAACUUUUAAAAUUUCUAAGCAUGGGCUUCCUUCCUAGUCUCUGCUCCCUAUCUAUAAGGUUUUUCAGAAAUUUGAAAAAACAAGAAACUGAAACACCAAAAUAUCAAGAACUACACAGUAAGAGAGCUAAGAUAAGGCAAUAUGGCUUCCAUUGCCAUUUCUGCUUCUUUGCAAAUAGUGUGUGGCUCUGGUUCACAACAUGUAACUAAGAAACAACAACCUCAGGCCAGACCGCCUCGCGCUCUGGGGACUAAAGAGGCCACUCAUGUUGUUGCUCUCAAUGUGGAAGCUCAAAAUGGUUUGAAACUAGCAGAACAAGAGAAGUCCAGUUCACUUGUAGAUAGGCCAGAGGCAGAGAGUGGUGCUGACUAUAAAUCGAAGCACGCUUUGGAUACAGAAUAUCUUCUGUGAAAUUUAGUGAUGAGAGGUGGAAGAAGGGGACAUGGGAUUUGAAUAUGUUCGCCAGAGACGGCAAAAUGGACUGGGAUGGUAUCAUUGAAGCAGAAGCAAAGAGGAGGAAAUUUCUUGAACUUCAUCCAGAAGCUUCUACCAACGAUGAUCCAGUACUGUUUAGGACCUCCAUCGUUCCUUGGUGGGCAUGGAUAAAGAAAUCACAUCUCCCAGAGGCUGAGCUGAUCAACGGUCGAGCAGCAAUGGUUGGGUUCUUCAUGGCAUAUGUAGUAGACGCUUUGACAGGGGUUGGCGUAGUUGGACAAACUGGUAACUUCAUAUGCAAGGCAGGGUUGUUGGCGACAGUGAUUGGUAUAAUACUGUUCAGGCGGACCGACGAUUUCAAUAACCUUAAGAAGCUAGCAGAUGAGGCUACUUUCUAUGAUAAGCAGUGGCAAGCUUCUUGGCAAGAAGAAAAUCAAAAUGGAACGAGUGGCUCUACAGAGAAAUCUGGAAGCAAGAGUUAG
RNA transcript from Fragaria vesca subsp. vesca, 1317 nucleotides. RefSeq lists it as uncharacterized. The transcript has 3 exons. NCBI's taxonomy places the organism in Eukaryota, Viridiplantae, Streptophyta, Magnoliopsida, Rosales, Rosaceae. The record is from RefSeq and is a predicted model, not a curated record.